Molecule: long non-coding RNA, 429 nt
Organism: Manis javanica (Malayan pangolin)
Lineage: Eukaryota; Metazoa; Chordata; Mammalia; Pholidota; Manidae
Source: RefSeq, a predicted model, not a curated record
UUAUUUAUAAUUUCCCCAAACUAGAAACAACUAAAGUGUCCUUCAGCAGACGAACGGCUCGACAAAUUGUGAUCCAUCUGACAAUGAAGGGAAUAUGCCUCAGCAUCGAAAAGGAAUGAACCACGGAUAGUCACAACAACAUGGAUGAAUCGCAAAUCACACAUCAGGCUGAGGGAAAGAAGCCAGACCCACAGGGCUACAUGCCGCACGAUUCCAUCUACGUGGCAUUGUUGCCGAAGCCAAACUGUAGUGACUGAGGAUGGAUCAGGGGUUGCCAGUGCCACGGGGUGAUGAAUACGUUCAGGGAGCUUGAUGGGGAUGAUGGUCACACAACCUGGUGACAAACAACUGGAUGGCAUGCUUUAAAAAGACCUCAGGAGCAGAGCCUGAUCCACCAACCAAUGAAUGGAUAAACAUGAUGUGGUCUGU